This is a long non-coding RNA of Dermacentor andersoni, 766 nucleotides long. RefSeq lists it as uncharacterized. The record is from RefSeq and is a predicted model, not a curated record. NCBI's taxonomy places the organism in Eukaryota, Metazoa, Arthropoda, Arachnida, Ixodida, Ixodidae.
AGUGGGCCCCGCCUUUUUCUCGCACCGGCUGCGUGCACUUCGGACAGAUCGACGAAGCGUCGGGGGCAGGACGCGACCGUGAAGUGGACAUUGAAGAAUACGGAGCACGUCGUGGAGAGGAAAAACAUUGAGAGAGAGGAUGAGACGCCCGGAGAAGACAGCAGCGCUCUGUUCGGGCUCUCUCUCUCUCAACACACACACACACACCGGCUGUUUUCUCUCCGCGAAGGAACGGCAGAGCCGAGAGCGCCGCCGUUGCCUUCAUUCUGGCGAAGCACAGCGGGGAGUCCUGCGCCUUGGAGCCUCCGCUUCACUUAAGCGCCGCACGCACGCACGCACGCGCUCUCUGCACGACCUCCGGCGUCGCCGUGGAGCGUCUGGCUGCUGCGGCGGCGUUAUCUGCAGUCGCAGGCGCUGUGCGGGCCAACGGCGACAGAUGCGGGGCAUGUAUUUUCAAGGCCUCCCGUGCCGGAACGUCUCCUGCGACCAGUUUCGCGUUGCACGUCUUUCGCCCGGCGAAGUGAGAACACUCCAAGAAAAUUGCCCAAGCAGCGUCCUUUUUUUUUUUUUUUAGCCCAGUCAAGUCCCCGAGGAGAAGUGGAGUUCUGCCAUCAAGAGUUCCGAGCUUCUUCCACAACUCCGGGCUGUCCAGAGAGCCCACGAUGCGGCGAUGAGGCUGGGCCUCCCCGUCCCGACGUGGGAGUGGCCCGCGGUGCUGCUCCAUGGGCGGCGCUUCUCAGAACCUCGAUAAAGUUCUUUUUCUGUC